RNAcentral lists this ribosomal RNA (245 nucleotides) under uncultured bacterium. RNAcentral's name for it is "partial small subunit ribosomal RNA". It matches the Rfam family "Bacterial small subunit ribosomal RNA", at positions 26 to 285 of the family's 1533-position model. The record is from RNAcentral.
AGAAUCAACGCUGGCGGCGUGCCUAACACAUGCAAGUCGAACGAGAAAGUGGAGCAAUCCACGAGUAAAGUGGCGCACGGGUGAGUAACACGUGACUAACCUACCCUUGAGUGGGGAAUAACUGAGGGAAACCUUAGCUAAUACCGCAUAACACCUACGGGUCAAAGGAGCAAUUCGCUUAAGGAGGGGGUCGCGGCAGAUUAGUUAGUUGGCGGGGUAAUGGCCCACCAAGACGGUGAUCUGUA